ACUCCUACGGGAGGCAGCAGCUAAGAAUAUUCCGCAAUGGACGAAAGUCUGACGGAGCGACGCCGCGUGGAUGAUGAAGGCCGAAAGGUUGUAAAGUCCUUUUGCUGGGGAAGAAUAAGUGUGGGAGGGAAUGCCCGCAUGAUGACAUGAACCGGCGAAUAAGCCCCGGCCAACUACGUGCCAGCAGCCGCGGUAACACGUAGGGGGCGAGCGUUGUUCGGAAUUACUGGGCGUAAAGGGCAUGUAGGCGGUCUGGUAAGCCUGGCGUGAAAGGCCACAGCUCAACUGUGGGAUUGCGUUGGGAACUGCUGGGCUUGAGUUAUGGAGAGGGAGCUAGAAUUCCUGGUGUAGGGGUGAAAUCUGUAGAUAUCAGGAAGAAUACCGAUGGCGAAGGCAAGCUCCUGGCCGAUGACUGACGCUGAGGUGCGAAAGUGUGGGGAUCAAACAGGAUUAGAUACCCUGGUAGUCCACACUGUAAACGAUGUGCACUAGGUGCUGGGGCGGUAGCUUCAGUGCCGGAGCGAACGUGGUAAGUGCACCGCCUGGGGAGUAUGCUCGCAAGGGUGAAACUCAAAGGAAUUGACGGGGGCCCGCACAAGCGGUGGAGCAUGUGGUUUAAUUCGAUGGUACGCGAGGAACCUUACCUGGGUUUGACAUACAGGGGGAUGUGGCAGCGAUGUCACAGACUGGAAACAGUACCCUGUACAGGUGCUGCAUGGCUGUCGUCAGCUCGUGCCGUGAGGUGUUGGGUUAAGUCCCGCAACGAGCGCAACCCCUACUGCCAGUUACUAACAGGUAAAGCUGAGGACUCUGGCGGAACUGCCGGUGACAAACCGGAGGAAGGUGGGGAUGACGUCAAGUCAUCAUGGCCCCUAUGUCCAGGGCUACACACGUGCUACAAUGGGCGAUACAGAGUGACGCGAAGCCGCGAGGUGGAGCAAAUCGCAGAAAAUCGCUCUCAGUUCGGAUUGGAGUCUGAAACCCGACUCCAUGAAGGUGGAAUCGCUAGUAAUCGCGCAUCAGCAUGGCGCGGUGAAUACGUUCCCGGGCCUUGUACACACCGCCCGUCACACCAUCCGAGUGGGGGGUACCCGAAGCCGUUAGUCCAACCUGCAAAGGGGGGCGACGUCGAAGUACGUCUUGUGAGGAGGGUGAAGUCGUC
This 1162-nucleotide ribosomal RNA is filed under the name Rectinema sp. RNAcentral describes it as "bacterial SSU rRNA". It matches the Rfam family "Bacterial small subunit ribosomal RNA", at positions 335 to 1490 of the family's 1533-position model. The record is from RNAcentral. Lineage: Bacteria; Pseudomonadati; Spirochaetota; Spirochaetia; Treponematales; Rectinemataceae.